GUGAAGCCGGUGAAGGCUGAAGCCGGAAUACGGGGGAUGCAAGGGGUAUCAGGAAUCAUUGGGUUAAAAGGUGACGUAGGAGGCCUUAUAAGGCAGAGGUGAAAGGUUUUGGCUGAACCAAAAAAUGGACAUUGAUACUGUAGGGCUUGAAUAGUUGGGAAGUAACUAGAAUAUGUAGUGUAGCGGUGAAAUGCUUAGAUAUUACAUGGAAUACCAAUUGCGAAGGCAGGUUACUAACAAAUGAUUGACGCUGAUGGACGAAAGCGUGGGUAGCGAACAGGAUUAGAUACCCCGGUAGUC
RNAcentral lists this ribosomal RNA (300 nucleotides) under uncultured Sulfurospirillum sp. RNAcentral's name for it is "bacterial SSU rRNA". It matches the Rfam family "Bacterial small subunit ribosomal RNA", at positions 496 to 795 of the family's 1533-position model. Lineage: Bacteria; Pseudomonadati; Campylobacterota; Epsilonproteobacteria; Campylobacterales; Sulfurospirillaceae. The record is from RNAcentral.